This 253-nucleotide ribosomal RNA is filed under the name uncultured bacterium. RNAcentral describes it as "partial 16S ribosomal RNA". It matches the Rfam family "Bacterial small subunit ribosomal RNA", at positions 524 to 776 of the family's 1533-position model. The record is from RNAcentral.
GACGGGGGAUGCAAGCGGUAUCCGGGCUCACUGGGCGUAAAGCGUCUGUCGGUGGUGAUGCAAGUCACUGGUGCAAAACUCUGGCUCAACCGGAGGAAAGCCAGUGAAACUGCAUGACUAGAGUGUGGGAGAGGUAGAAGGAAUUCCCUGAGUAGCGGUGAAAUGCGUAGAUACAGGGAAGAACACCGGAGGCGAAAGCGUUCUACUGGAACACAACUGACACUGAGAGACGAAAGCUAGGGGAGCGAAUGGG